RNAcentral lists this ribosomal RNA (787 nucleotides) under uncultured bacterium. RNAcentral describes it as "bacterial SSU rRNA". It matches the Rfam family "Bacterial small subunit ribosomal RNA", at positions 8 to 796 of the family's 1533-position model. The record is from RNAcentral.
AGAGUUUGAUCCUGGCUCAGGAUGAACGCUAGCGGCAGGCUUAACACAUGCAAGUCGAGGGGUAUAGUUCUUCGGAACUAGAGACCGGCGCACGGGUGCGUAACGCGUAUGCAAUCUACCUUUCACAGAGGGAUAGCCCAGAGAAAUUUGGAUUAAUACCUCAUAGUAUAAUUGAAUGGCAUCAUUUAAUUAUUAAAGUCACAACGGUGAAAGAUGAGCAUGCGUCCCAUUAGCUAGUUGGUAAGGUAACGGCUUACCAAGGCGACGAUGGGUAGGGGUCCUGAGAGGGAGAUCCCCCACACUGGUACUGAGACACGGACCAGACUCCUACGGGAGGCAGCAGUGAGGAAUAUUGGUCAAUGGGCGCAAGCCUGAACCAGCCAUGCCGCGUGCAGGAUGACGGUCCUAUGGAUUGUAAACUGCUUUUGUACAGGAAGAAACACUGGUUCGUGAACCAGCUUGACGGUACUGUAAGAAUAAGGAUCGGCUAACUCCGUGCCAGCAGCCGCGGUAAUACGGAGGAUCCAAGCGUUAUCCGGAAUCAUUGGGUUUAAAGGGUCCGUAGGCGGUCAGAUAAGUCAGUGGUGAAAGCCCAUCGCUCAACGGUGGAACGGCCAUUGAUACUGUCUGACUUGAAUUAUUAGGAAGUAACUAGAAUAUGUAGUGUAGCGGUGAAAUGCUUAGAGAUUACAUGGAAUACCAAUUGCGAAGGCAGGUUACUACUAAUGGAUUGACGCUGAUGGACGAAAGCGUGGGUAGCGAACAGGAUUAGAUACCCUGGUAGUCC